CCUACGGGUGGCUGCAGUGGGGAAUAUUGGACAAUGGGCGAAAGCCUGAUCCAGCCAUGCCGCGUGUGUGAAGAAGGCCUUCGGGUUGUAAAGCACUUUCAGUGGGGAAGAAAGCCUUGGGGCUAAUACCCUCGAGGAAGGACAUCACCCACAGAAGAAGCACCGGCUAACUCCGUGCCAGCAGCCGCGGUAAUACGGAGGGUGCGGGCGUUAAUCGGAAUUACUGGGCGUAAAGCGCGCGUAGGCGGUCUGAUAAGCCGGUUGUGAAAGCCCCGGGCUCAACCUGGGAACGGCAUCCGGAACUGUCAGGCUAGAGUGCAGGAGAGGAAGGUAGAAUUCCCGGUGUAGCGGUGAAAUGCGUAGAGAUCGGGAGGAAUACCAGUGGCGAAGGCGGCCUUCUGGACUGACACUGACGCUGAGGUGCGAAAGCGUGGGUAGCAAACAGGAUUAGAUACCCUUGUAGUC
This 465-nucleotide ribosomal RNA is filed under the name Vreelandella stevensii. RNAcentral describes it as "partial 16S ribosomal RNA". It matches the Rfam family "Bacterial small subunit ribosomal RNA", at positions 338 to 795 of the family's 1533-position model. Lineage: Bacteria; Pseudomonadati; Pseudomonadota; Gammaproteobacteria; Oceanospirillales; Halomonadaceae. The record is from RNAcentral.